This is a non-coding RNA of Podarcis lilfordi (Lilford's wall lizard), 71 nucleotides long. Lineage: Eukaryota; Metazoa; Chordata; Lepidosauria; Squamata; Lacertidae. The record is from the annotation of a GenBank genome assembly.
GGACCAUAGCUCAGUGGAAGACCUUCUGCCUUGCAUGCAGAAGGUCCUAAGUUCAGUCCCCAGCAUCUCUA